GACGAUCAGAUACCGUCGUAGUCUUAACUAUAAAUGUUGCAAACCAGGGAUAGGACAGUGUCCAUCUCGACUCCUCAUGGACCUUGGAGAAAUUACGAGUCUAUGGGUUCUGGGGGGAGUAUGGUCGCAAGGCUGAAACUUAAAGGAAUUGACGGAAGGGCACACAAAGAGUGGAACCUGCGGCUUAAUUUGACUCAACACGGGAAAACUCACCAGGUCCGGAUACACGUAUGAAAGUCAAGCUGAAAGACUUUACUCAAUGAUGUAAGUGGUGGUGCAUGGUCGCUCUAGUUCGUGGAUUGAUUUGUCUGGUCUAUUCCGAUAACGAGCGAGACCCCGACGUUCCUAAUAGGGGUGGCAGCCAGACCGGUCGCAAGGCCGGUUAGCUCGCCGCCUGAAGUUAUACUUCUUAGUCGCAUCAGAGCCGAUAAGGUUCUUGAAAUGGGUUAAUAACAGGUCAGUCAUGCCCUUAGAUGUUCUGGGCCGCACGCGCGUUACAAUGGCAUGUA
RNAcentral lists this ribosomal RNA (509 nucleotides) under Physarum utriculare. RNAcentral describes it as "SSU rRNA". It matches the Rfam family "Eukaryotic small subunit ribosomal RNA", at positions 1003 to 1512 of the family's 1831-position model. The record is from RNAcentral. Lineage: Eukaryota; Evosea; Eumycetozoa; Physariida; Physaraceae.